AUGGAGAGGUACGAGGUGCUCAAGGACAUCGGUGACGGCAAUGUCAACGUCACGCGGAUGAUGUGGAACAAGGAGACUGAGGAGGUCGUCGCCAUGAAGUACAUCCCAUGGGGCUUCAAGCAUGAGAGAUAUAAUAUAUUCUUUUCAUCCUCACAAACUAUUGGAGAUGGAGCUCAUUUUGCAGAAUUUUCUACCGAGUUGCCAAAUUUUGAGGGCCUGCAAUUGAAGAAUACAACACUUUUUGUUGGAGUGGAGACUAGAGUAAUCAUAUCUGCUGCAAGAGAGAUGUAUUUUAUUUUUGUUGGACAUUUUCUGCAUCUUUUAUGGAUGGUAACAUUUGAGACAGCAAUUUCAGUGCAAGCCAUCAAGAUCAACUUCAACAUGUCUGGUCUCUAA
RNAcentral lists this ribosomal RNA (396 nucleotides) under Triticum aestivum (bread wheat). RNAcentral describes it as "partial small subunit ribosomal RNA". The record is from RNAcentral. Lineage: Eukaryota; Viridiplantae; Streptophyta; Magnoliopsida; Poales; Poaceae.